RNAcentral lists this ribosomal RNA (922 nucleotides) under Ophiocordyceps sinensis. Its description in RNAcentral is "eukaryotic LSU rRNA". It matches the Rfam family "Eukaryotic large subunit ribosomal RNA", at positions 31 to 978 of the family's 3401-position model. The record is from RNAcentral. Lineage: Eukaryota; Fungi; Ascomycota; Sordariomycetes; Hypocreales; Ophiocordycipitaceae.
AACUUAAGCAUAUCAAUAAGCGGAGGAAAAGAAACCAACAGGGAUUGCCCCAGUAACGGCGAGUGAAGCGGCAACAGCUCAAAUUUGAAAUCUGGCCCCCCCGCGGGCCCGAGUUGUAAUUUGCAGAGGAUGCUUUUGGCGCGGCGCCUUCCGAGUGCCCUGGAACGGGACGCCAUAGAGGGUGAGAGCCCCGUCUGGUCGGACGCCCAGCCUCUGUAAAGCUCCUUCGACGAGUCGAGUAGUUUGGGAAUGCUGCUCUAAACGGGAGGUAUAUGUCUUCUAAAGCUAAAUACUGGCCAGAGACCGAUAGCGCACAAGUAGAGUGAUCGAAAGAUGAAAAGCACUUUGAAAAGAGGGUUAAACAGUACGUGAAAUUGUUGAAAGGGAAGCGCUUGUGACCAGACUCGGGCGCGGCGAAUCACCCGGCGUUCUCGCCGGUGCACUUCGACGCGCCCGGGCCAGCAUCAGCUCGCCGCGGGGGACAAAGGCGCCGGGAACGUGGCUCCCCAGGGAGUGUUAUAGCCCGGCGCGCAACGCCCCGCGGCGGACUGAGGUUCGCGCGUCCGCAAGGAUGCUGGCGUAAUGGUCACCAGUGACCCGUCUUGAAACACGGACCAAGGAGUCGUCCUCGUAUGCGAGUGUUCGGGUGUCAAACCCCUACGCGCAAUGAAAGUGAACGCGGGUGAGAGCCUCGCGGCGCAUCAUCGACCGAUCCUGAUGUUCUCGGAUGGAUUUGAGUAGGAGCAUACGGGGCCGGACCCGAAAGAAGGUGAACUAUGCCUGUGUAGGGUGAAGCCAGAGGAAACUCUGGUGGAGGCUCGCAGCGGUUCUGACGUGCAAAUCGAUCGUCAAACAUGGGCAUGGGGGCGAAAGACUAAUCGAACCUUCUAGUAGCUGGUUUCCGCCGAAGUUUCCCUCAGGA